This 583-nucleotide ribosomal RNA is filed under the name Burkholderia cenocepacia. Its description in RNAcentral is "bacterial SSU rRNA". It matches the Rfam family "Bacterial small subunit ribosomal RNA", at positions 1 to 577 of the family's 1533-position model. Lineage: Bacteria; Pseudomonadati; Pseudomonadota; Betaproteobacteria; Burkholderiales; Burkholderiaceae. The record is from RNAcentral.
GAACUGAAGAGUUUGAUCCUGGCUCAGAUUGAACGCUGGCGGCAUGCCUUACACAUGCAAGUCGAACGGCAGCACGGGUGCUUGCACCUGGUGGCGAGUGGCGAACGGGUGAGUAAUACAUCGGAACAUGUCCUGUAGUGGGGGAUAGCCCGGCGAAAGCCGGAUUAAUACCGCAUACGAUCCACGGAUGAAAGCGGGGGACCUUCGGGCCUCGCGCUAUAGGGUUGGCCGAUGGCUGAUUAGCUAGUUGGUGGGGUAAAGGCCUACCAAGGCGACGAUCAGUAGCUGGUCUGAGAGGACGACCAGCCACACUGGGACUGAGACACGGCCCAGACUCCUACGGGAGGCAGCAGUGGGGAAUUUUGGACAAUGGGCGAAAGCCUGAUCCAGCAAUGCCGCGUGUGUGAAGAAGGCCUUCGGGUUGUAAAGCACUUUUGUCCGGAAAGAAAUCCUUGGCUCUAAUACAGUCGGGGGAUGACGGUACCGGAAGAAUAAGCACCGGCUAACUACGUGCCAGCAGCCGCGGUAAUACGUAGGGUGCGAGCGUUAAUCGGAAUUACUGGGCGUAAAGCGUGCGCAGGCG